UUUUGUUCUUCUUCAUCCGAUAAACCCCAAUUAGUUUAGGGUUUUCAUCUUCAUCGUUACCGCAGAAAAACUUCUCCAAAUUCUAGCAAUUCCAUUCGAAUUUCGCAUACAAUAUCACGAAAACAUCACCCUUUCAGAUCCAUGUGUUGAUUUGCAGAUUCGAAAAUGACGUGGGCUUAUACUAUGAAGGGGAAGAAGCGAAUGAACAAGGAAGUACGAUCGUGAAGAAGAUGAAGAGCAAAUCCACUCAAAGAAACCAGCGAUUCAGAGAGAAGAACCAACGCCGGUAGUUACAAAAACAGAGGAAAAUAGUGAACUUGCAGGUAUUUUAAUUGCUCCUUCAUUUGAAAAACUAGUGAGAAAGCGGGUGUUAUUUUCAUUCUCGAAAAAACUUCUUUGGAAGUCGCUAAAAUUGGAAAGAGGUGUCGGUGCUACAUAGGUUUACGUCAAUGGAUAUUUUUCCAAGGCAAGUUAAAAAUAUCAAAGGAAGGUUAUCUUCUUCGUAAUGAAGAUGGAGUAGCAAUAUUGGGUGAUGUUCGCAAUAGUUAGGCUGGUGUCUCAGUUUUACAGUCUUUUUAUUCGCAAACACAAUGUUGUUUCUGAUGCUCUCAAGAAAGAAUACUCAGAAUUAAAAGAUGAAGAUCUUUAUCGCUAUGCUGGAUUGGUGACAUCAGCUGUAUUCAUACCAUAGAUUGGACUGUGGAGCUUCUUAAAAUGGACACUUUGCUUGCAGGCAUGAGGGGAAAUUGGUAAAAAAACAUAUAAAUAUAGUAGAUGUAAUGAUAUAUAGCUCAAAUAUAAUAAUUUUGAUGUUCAUUUCAUUACUUUGUAUCAUGAUACUGUAAACUAUAAUUUGAUUUCAGGUAAUUUUAGUGAUAUCUGUUUUUUGCAUAAUAUCCCCUGUGUAUUUGAUUUCUCAUAGUGGGAGAAUCUUUAAAAUCUCAAUCACUAUCCUCAAAACUCCACCAUAGCCCAUUUUGUUUUUCUUUUAUGCUGUUGAAAAAGUGAAUGUAGAACAGUUGUCGACUCUGGCUAAAGAUGUGCUUUCAACAUUGAUGCUCAUUGUAAUUGCCUCCAUAAGCGUGGUUCUCAUCUACUCACUGCUGCAACAAUGUUGAACCGGACACGAGAGACUACAGAUUCUUACACAAUUGCCACAGCUCCAUGUUUUGGAUCGUUUCGACGAUUACCGAGUUUUAUUUAUUCAGGUAGACUAAGAAUUUGUGGAAGUAUUAGCAUUCAGGUAUCUAUCAUGUUUACAUACAAAGUCAUAUGUCAUUCUUUGAGAAGUAUGAUCUAUUGUUUGUAUGCUUGUUGCACCCUCUUUCUUUCGACAUCAAAAUCCAGGAAGUAGAGAUAGAGGCUGGAAAGGUUUGCUUGGAGAGGAAAAAACCAAAAGGACAUUGAAAGUUAAGUGCUAUUACAUGAAUGGUUCUGCUAAUUUUUAUAUGAGACCAUUGGAGGAUGUGUCAGCUGUGGUUGAUCAUGAUAAGAUGAAAAUUGUUAGUUACUCUGAUAAACAUGUGGUUCCAGUGCCGAAAGGUGAAGGUACUGAGUAUCGAGCUUCCACCAACCAACAUUAUGGACCUGGAUUCACCAUCCAAGGUCACUCCGUCAGAUAUUCAAGCCCAGCAAGUUGACUGGUUGAACCGAAGUGGAAGCCACAGCGUCUCCAAUUGCAGCUGCUACGGUGAAACUUUAGUAGAACUCAGUAUUUUCUUUGACAUUUCAUUGGCCAUUUGUAAAGCAAUAAAGUCAAAACACUCUUGAGUAUGCUUUUUUUACUUAUUUUUUCAAUUAUUCAUGAUUUUGUUUCAAAAUGUGUUUCUUUUUUCAUUAGAUUAAUGUACAAUGAAUGCUUUUUUUGUUGUUUCAGUUGUUUAUGCAGUAAUAGAUAAUUGUUAAUGACCUGUAUGGUCUGAAAAGUCCAACACCACAUGGUACACCCCUCCCUGUAAUACU
Long non-coding RNA from Vicia villosa (hairy vetch), 1962 nucleotides. RefSeq lists it as uncharacterized. The record is from RefSeq and is a predicted model, not a curated record. NCBI's taxonomy places the organism in Eukaryota, Viridiplantae, Streptophyta, Magnoliopsida, Fabales, Fabaceae. The transcript has 7 exons.